This 604-nucleotide ribosomal RNA is filed under the name bacterium fme09x27p78. Its description in RNAcentral is "bacterial SSU rRNA". It matches the Rfam family "Bacterial small subunit ribosomal RNA", at positions 48 to 661 of the family's 1533-position model. The record is from RNAcentral.
GCUACACAUGCAGUCGAGCGGAACGAUGGUAGCUUGCUACCAGGCGUCGAGCGGCGGACGGGUGAGUAAUACUUAGGAAUCUACCUAGUAGUGGGGGAUAGCACGGGGAAACUCGUAUUAAUACCGCAUACGACCUACGGGAGAAAGGGGGCAGUUUACUGCUCUCGCUAUUAGAUGAGCCUAAGUCGGAUUAGCUAGAUGGUGGGGUAAAGGCCUACCAUGGCGACGAUCUGUAGCUGGUCUGAGAGGAUGAUCAGCCACACCGGGACUGAGACACGGCCCGGACUCCUACGGGAGGCAGCAGUGGGGAAUAUUGGACAAUGGGGGAAACCCUGAUCCAGCCAUGCCGCGUGUGUGAAGAAGGCCUUUUGGUUGUAAAGCACUUUAAGCAGUGAAGAAGACUCUUCGGUUAAUACCCGGAGACGAUGACAUUAGCUGCAGAAUAAGCACCGGCUAACUCUGUGCCAGCAGCCGCGUAAUACAGAGGGUGCAAGCGUUAAUCGGAAUUACUGGCGUAAGCGAGCGUAGGUGGCUUGAUAGUCAGAUGUGAAUCCCGGGCUACUGGACUGCAUCUGAACUGUAGGCUAGAGUAGUGAGAGGAGUA